GACGAACGCUGGCGGCGUGCUUAACACAUGCAAGUCGAACGGAAAGGCCCUGCUCUUGUGGGUUGCUCGAGUGGCGAACGGGUGUGUAACACGCGAGUAACCUGCCCUUGUCUUUCGGAUAACUUCAGGAAACUGGGGCUCAUAUCGGAUAUGAGAUCCUGCAGCACGGUGGGGGAUGGAAAGAUUCGGCGGUUGGGGCUGGACUAGCGGCUUACCAGCUUGUUGGUGGGGUAGUGGAUGACCAAGGCUUUGACGGAUAGCCGGCCUGAGAGGGUGACCGGCGUCAAUGGUACUGAGAGACGGCGCAGACGCGUACGGGAGGCAGUAGGCGAGAGCAUUGCACAACGGGCGGGAGCCUGAGACGACGACGCCGGGUGCGGGAUGACGGGUUUCGGGUGGUAAACCGCUGUCGCCGGUAACGAAGAAUGCGUGACGGUAAUGGGUAAAGAAGCACCGGCUAACUACGUG
This 468-nucleotide ribosomal RNA is filed under the name uncultured bacterium. RNAcentral describes it as "partial 16S ribosomal RNA". It matches the Rfam family "Bacterial small subunit ribosomal RNA", at positions 28 to 507 of the family's 1533-position model. The record is from RNAcentral.